RNAcentral lists this ribosomal RNA (253 nucleotides) under uncultured bacterium. RNAcentral's name for it is "partial 16S ribosomal RNA". It matches the Rfam family "Bacterial small subunit ribosomal RNA", at positions 524 to 776 of the family's 1533-position model. The record is from RNAcentral.
UACGUAGGGGGCAAGCGUUGUCCGGAAUCAUUGGGCGUAAAGCGCGCGUAGGCGGCCCGGUAAGUCCGCUCUGAAAGUCCAAGGCUCAACCUUGGGAUGCGGGUGGAUACUGCCGGGCUAGAGUCCGGAAGAGGCGAGUGGAAUUCCUGGUGUAGCGGUGGAAUGCGCAGAUAUCAGGAAGAACACCUAUGGCGAAGGCAGCUCUCUGGGACGGUACUGACGCUGAGGAGCGAAAGCAUGGGGAGCGAACAGG